UAGGGAAUCUUCGGCAAUGGACGAAAGUCUGACCGAGCAACGCCGCGUGAGUGAAGAAGGUUUUCGGAUCGUAAAACUCUGUUGUUAGAGAAGAACAAGGACGUUAGUAACUGAACGUCCCCUGACGGUAUCUAACCAGAAAGCCACGGCUAACUACGUGCCAGCAGCCGCGGUAAUACGUAGGUGGCAAGCGUUGUCCGGAUUUAUUGGGCGUAAAGCGAGCGCAGGCGGUUUCUUAAGUCUGAUGUAAAAGCCCCCGGCUCAACCAGGGAGGGUCAUUGGAAACUGGGAGAAUUGAGUGCAGAAGAGGAGAGUGGAAUUCCAUGUGUAGCGGUGAAAUGCGUAGAUAUAUGGAGGAACACCAGUGGCGAAGGCGGCUCUCUGGUCUGUAACUGACGCUGAGGCUCGAAAGCGUGGGGAGCAAACAGG
RNAcentral lists this ribosomal RNA (429 nucleotides) under Gemmatimonadota bacterium. RNAcentral's name for it is "Gemmatimonadetes bacterium partial 16S ribosomal RNA". It matches the Rfam family "Bacterial small subunit ribosomal RNA", at positions 355 to 776 of the family's 1533-position model. Lineage: Bacteria; Pseudomonadati; Gemmatimonadota. The record is from RNAcentral.